AUCAGGUUAGUUUAUGGAAAACAUCAGGAUGUGGGCUUGAGAAAGAAAGGUUCUCUUUCACUUGAUA
Molecule: transfer RNA, 67 nt
Filed under: Tegula lividomaculata
Lineage: Eukaryota; Metazoa; Mollusca; Gastropoda; Trochida; Tegulidae
Description: tRNA-His
Source: RNAcentral